Molecule: ribosomal RNA, 98 nt
Filed under: Holoregmia viscida
Lineage: Eukaryota; Viridiplantae; Streptophyta; Magnoliopsida; Lamiales; Martyniaceae
Description: partial 28S ribosomal RNA
Source: RNAcentral
CGUCCGAUCGGGCAUCGAGAUCGACCCAACGGCGCGCGAGCGCCCACGACCGCGACCCCAGGUCAGGCGGGAUCACCCGCUGAGUUUAAGCAUAUCUA